This 250-nucleotide unclassified non-coding RNA is filed under the name plant metagenome. Its description in RNAcentral is "partial contains small subunit ribosomal RNA, internal transcribed spacer 1, and 5.8S ribosomal RNA". The record is from RNAcentral.
GUAGGUGAACCUGCGGAAGGAUCAUUAAAAUAAUGGGUUCGGAACCUUUGAUCGGGUUCUGAACCUUUGGCGCGCAGCACCCGGGUGGGUAGCUUAUCUAUGGAGUUGUGGUUAUUGCCGUUAUAAGCUUUGGAAUGGGCAUGACCGAGGGUCGCGCCUACGGUGUUAUCUUCACGCGUAGGUUUCCUCUUGCCGCCGGACUUACAGUGAUCCCACCCGCUGGAUCCAUGACCAAAAAACCCCCUGUGAA